UACAGAGGGAGCAAGCGUUGUUCGGAAUUACUGGGCGUAAAGGGCGCGUAGGUGGUCUUGUAAGUCCCGUGUGAAAUCCCUCGGCUCAACUGAGGAACUGCACGGGAAACUGCUUGGCUUGAGUUCGGGAGAGGGACGUGGAAUUCCGGGUGUAGCGGUGAAAUGCGUAGAUAUCCGGAGGAACACCGGUGGCGAAGGCGGCGUCCUGGACCGACACUGACGCUGAGGCGCGAAAGCUAGGGGAGCAAAC
RNAcentral lists this ribosomal RNA (250 nucleotides) under uncultured bacterium. RNAcentral's name for it is "partial 16S ribosomal RNA". It matches the Rfam family "Bacterial small subunit ribosomal RNA", at positions 524 to 773 of the family's 1533-position model. The record is from RNAcentral.